AGCCGAAAUAGCUCAGUUGGGAGAGCGUUAGACUGAAGAUUUAAAGGUCCCUGGUUCGAUCCCAGGUUUUGCAA
Pseudophryne corroboree (corroboree frog) is the source of this 74-nucleotide non-coding RNA. NCBI's taxonomy places the organism in Eukaryota, Metazoa, Chordata, Amphibia, Anura, Myobatrachidae. The record is from the annotation of a RefSeq genome assembly.